Non-coding RNA from Peromyscus maniculatus bairdii (prairie deer mouse), 1494 nucleotides. The record is from RefSeq and is a predicted model, not a curated record. NCBI's taxonomy places the organism in Eukaryota, Metazoa, Chordata, Mammalia, Rodentia, Cricetidae.
AAACCAAACAACUUUUUGCCUCAUAAGAAACCCAAGUUUGUCAAUCUGCUCUUAGCUCAGGAAUGCUGCCUAGAAAUCAGACAUUUUCUGUUGGGAAUGCCAACACCAAGGUACAAAAGGCUGCUGGGAGGGUGGGAGAGAGGUCCAGGGGAUGCAGUCUGAGCUCCUACAGCCUUAUUAGAAGUUGAGACGAAAAGGUUAGGGAAACAGUUUGGAAUAGGACCAUGAACCAAGAGACAUCAAGCAGAUACUCCAAAGUUAUCUUACACACACACACACACACAUCCUGCAAGCCUAUCAAUGUUUGCAAAGGUCGUUUGACUACUAAGCCUCUCAGGCCUGAUGGGUGAGGUUUGCAAACGUGAUUUAAAAUGUUAUUAUUAGGUUAUCAAAUGGCUUUAUUUGUGGGCUCCUUUGUUUGACGCAGAGUCUCACGCUGUAGCCCAAGCCGGGUUCUAACUCUCAAUUCUCCUGCCUCAGCCUCUCCAGUGCUACGAUCGUCCAGUGUGCCGGUUAGUUUCUGUCGGCUCGACACAAAUCAGAGACGCCUGGGAAGCGGGAACCUCAGCCGAGGAACUGCCUCCAUCAGAUCGGCCUGUGGGGUGUUUCCUUGACUGCUGACUUACAGAGGAGGGCCUAGCCCACUCUGAGGGCUGCCAGCCCUGUGCAGGCGCCUGAACAAAGCGGGGGGAAUAAGCAGCAAGCAGUUUUCCUCUGUCAUCUCUGCUUCAGUUGCGGCUUUGCAUCCCUGCCUGACUUCCGGUCCCCGCCUGACUUCCCGUCCCUGCCUGACUUCCCCUGAUGAUGGGCUGUAAGCCGGAGAGAAUGAUGCGGGCGAGGAAAAUAAGCGUUUUUUUUUUUUUUUUUUUUUUUUAAUAAGUAGCGGGCUGGGGAGACGACUCAGUCAACGAGGCGCUUGCUGCACAAGCAUCUGAGUCCAGAACUGGUUGUGGGGCACAGGUCUCAAUCUCAGAACCAGGAAAGUGGAAACAGACAGAUCUCUGGAGCUCACUGGACAGACGGCCUAGCCAAACGGAUGUGAUCUGAGUUCGCACGUGAUCGGUGGAAUGCAGUCCUGUGGAGGAAAUGUGCACCCUCACUUCCAAGGGCCAAACAAGAAGAGGGGGCGGUCAGCUGUGUGGGAACACGGUCCAAGAAGGGAGUCGCGUGAGGUGAGAAAACCUGCGUGCCGGUGAGAAAACUCUAGGAAGAAAAGACAAGAGGCUUGGGAACCUCACUUCCUUCAAAAACACAGAGUAAUUCUUGGAGUUGCUUCCAUGGUCUUCCCAGGUGGGGCGGAUAGGAGUGAGUUCUCUCUACAUCAUUCAUCACAACUGCCCUUGUUUUUUGUUUAUAUGCCUCUGUGGGAAAACGUGUUUGCCACAAGGACAGGAUGUGCAGCUUGUCCUUGUGAUUGUAUGCCUCCUUACUCAUUUUUCUUAACCCUCAGAGUAUAAAUUGUCUGAUGCUCUGAAUAAAGUUGGCUAUUGCAUG